AAAGUGCAUGCAUAAUUUUAUUUGAAUAAAUUAUAAAGAAGAAAAGGACAUCUGCACAAGAUAUGCUUGUAUUUUCGUGCAGGCAGAUAUUUCGCUACCCUGCCCGCAGCGUUAGGACCCUGUUAAAUGUCAUUCGCUGCGCGUUUCUUUCAAUUCUGCGGAUGCUGCACUGCAGUGAUCUAGGCAGCGACGAUUUACCUUUUAUUUAUUUAUUUAUUUAUUUAGUAUCAAUCACCCCCAAACACACAGUUUAGUGCUAUAUUUUUAAGCUUGCUUAGAAACGCCGACGUGGCCGAGCUUUAACCUCGAAUGCGCCAUUAGUCCAUACAUCAACAUGCUCAGACGAAUAUGACUCGAUAACAUUACCUCCAGUGUUCUGCAGAUCAUAUGUACUUGAACUGAACUUUGAUUUCUUGGGAAAACAAAAGUCAAAGAAUGUAUCGAAGCUGCAGCAGUCUCUAGCUUUCAACUAAGGAUUUUUAGCCAACAUAGAUACAGUCUCCAGCCCGUGAAUCAUCAUAGAGGUUGACAUGAUGCCGGAGUGAUGUCCUUUGAAUCUGUCACUGUAAGUUGAUGCAGUGGCAGAAGGGCCGGUGGUGACCUGAAAGCUCCUCUGUAGUUGUUGUUUUCUCAGCCUAUACACUUGUGUUUCAGUGUCAUUGUGUCAUUCCAAGGACAGUUUGAGAAAGUAACUGCUUGUUUUUGACUUCUCAGUUCUUUGUAUGCUGCUUUUUCUAAAAAUGUAGUUUUCUUUUACAUUUUAAUAAAAAUCACUAUUACAGCUCAA
Cyprinus carpio (common carp) is the source of this 787-nucleotide long non-coding RNA. RefSeq lists it as uncharacterized. The transcript is spliced from 4 exons. NCBI's taxonomy places the organism in Eukaryota, Metazoa, Chordata, Actinopteri, Cypriniformes, Cyprinidae. The record is from RefSeq and is a predicted model, not a curated record.